UUCAGUGUUUUUGAUAGACUGUGUUGUGUAUAUAUUUAUUUUUUGUAUUUAUAUUUGUAUUGUUAAUUGUAAGUGAAAUGAACAGUAGCGAUGCGGCGAGAAGUGCCAGUCAACCUUCUGCAUCGCUAGGUAUUUCGGAGCGAUGCCCGCACUGUACCCAGGUACGGUACUUUAAAGCGAUUUUAAGCAAGCAGUCCAAAGAUGUCCAAAGAAGAUCCUGUACGCUGUAAAUAAAUAGUUCCUGAGCAACAAUCUUCAUAUUGGACAAGGCGGUAACAGUCUCGGGAUGUGCAAUACUGAUUUCGAAGUUAGC
Molecule: long non-coding RNA, 313 nt
Organism: Helicoverpa zea (corn earworm)
Lineage: Eukaryota; Metazoa; Arthropoda; Insecta; Lepidoptera; Noctuidae
Exons: 3
Source: RefSeq, a predicted model, not a curated record